This 253-nucleotide ribosomal RNA is filed under the name uncultured bacterium. RNAcentral describes it as "partial 16S ribosomal RNA". It matches the Rfam family "Bacterial small subunit ribosomal RNA", at positions 524 to 776 of the family's 1533-position model. The record is from RNAcentral.
UACAGAGGGGGCAAGCGUUGUUCGGAAUUACUGGGCGUAAAGGGCGCGUAGGCGGCCUGUUAAGUCGAACGUGAAAUCCCCGGGCUCAACCCGGGAACUGCGUCCGAUACUGGCAGGCUUGAAUUCGGGAGAGGGAUGCGGAAUUCCAGGUGUAGCGGUGAAAUGCGUAGAUAUCUGGAGGAACACCGGUGGCGAAGGCAGGUCUCUGGGCUGACACUGACGCUCAUGCACGAAAGCGUGGGGAGCAAACAGG